UUGACCUCGGAUCAGGUAGGAAUACCCGCUGAACUUAAGCAUAUCAAUAAGCGGAGGAAAAGAAACCAACAGGGAUUGCCCUAGUAACGGCGAGUGAAGCGGCAACAGCUCAAAUUUGAAAUCUGGCUUUCGGGUCCGAGUUGUAAUUUGUAGAGGAUGCUUUUGGUUAGGUACCUUCCGAGUUCCUUGGAACAGGACGCCUUAGAGGGUGAGAGCCCCGUACGGUUGGAUGCCGAGCCUCUGUAAAGCUCCUUCGACGAGUCGAGUAGUUUGGGAAUGCUGCUCUAAAUGGGAGGUAAAUUUCUUCUAAAGCUAAAUACCGGCCAGAGACCGAUAGCGCACAAGUAGAGUGAUCGAAAGAUGAAAAGCACUUUGAAAAGAGGGUUAAAUAGUACGUGAAAUUGUUGAAAGGGAAGGGCUUGUGACCAGACCUUUGCCUUGCGGAUCAUCCGGUGUUCUCACCGGUGCACUCCGCUUGGUUGAGGCCAGCAUCAGUUCUGGCGGCGGGAUAAAGACUUCAGGAAUGUGACUCCCCCGGGAGUGUUAUAGCCUGUUGUGUAAUACCGCCACUGGGACUGAGGACCGCGCUUCGGCUAGGAUGCUGGCAUAAUGGUCAUCAGCCAC
RNAcentral lists this ribosomal RNA (624 nucleotides) under Microdochium sorghi. RNAcentral describes it as "eukaryotic LSU rRNA". It matches the Rfam family "Eukaryotic large subunit ribosomal RNA", at positions 1 to 648 of the family's 3401-position model. Lineage: Eukaryota; Fungi; Ascomycota; Sordariomycetes; Xylariales; Microdochiaceae. The record is from RNAcentral.